RNAcentral lists this long non-coding RNA (1030 nucleotides) under Taeniopygia guttata (zebra finch). RNAcentral describes it as "lncRNA (ENSTGUG00000023428.1)". Lineage: Eukaryota; Metazoa; Chordata; Aves; Passeriformes; Estrildidae. The record is from RNAcentral.
GGAGCCAAAAGGGAUCCUUUCUCUUCCCAAGUGUUGCAAAAGCACGGCUAGACAUGUUUUAUGAUGAAGCAGACAGGGACCAGCAAUGAGGACUGGUGCUUCUGGGCAGGCAGUGCAGUCAGCAGGAGAGCAAAGCUUUGGGAGGAGUGGGGCAGGUGGAAAGAAGACACCAGAGACUGGAGAAAUCCUCACCAAAAUUGCCUUUGGAUGUGGCAGAGCAGCUCAGCUGGGAUUGGCCAAAAUAGUGAGGUACUCAGAGAGGAUCUUACAGAUGCUGGUUGAGGAAAUAUUUCCUUUGACACACUGGCACUGCCUUCUGAGAAACUACUCCAUUUCCAGCUCUUUAUGGCAUUUAAUAGCAAUGAACUGUGUCUUCUGUAUUAAUAAAUUAUGAUGUCACUUUGUUUUAUGGAUUAAGCAAUAUCCUCUUUGGUUAUUUAUAACACCAAACGGAUGAAAGAAAACUAGAAACAAAGUGGUUUCAGAUGCUUUCUGCACACAUAACUCUCAAGCUGCAUCCAUAAAGAGAGAUUAAGAUACAUUGUUCAGAAAAGGAAGAGGAAAAUAAACAAAAGGUGAAAAAAAAAAGAAAAUAAAUCAUCCUCCUCUAGUCAUGUUGUAUAGAGUACCAUGUUUUCACAGUUUCCCAAUAAGAUGUUUUGUCACUAUCAUUCCCUUUUUAAAAUAUCCUUACAAUAAUUUGCACUCACGGGCGUAUCUUGCCUCUCAAAACCACACUCAGUUAUAUUUAACCACAGCUUUGAGAAGGACAGGGUGUUCAAGGAUCAUCACCAAGGUCAAACCAGGAAGCAGUGGCAAAGCUGAGGGCCUGUUUAAAUGAUGGCCAUUUCAACAUCUAUCCUAAUAACAAUUAGAGUGAAAUUAAGUUAGAAUUUUCUUUUCCAUUAUGCCCAUCCAUUUCCCUGGUUCUAUCCCAAGGAUCUUUACUGUAGAUUUUCCCAGGAAAAUCCCUGGUUUAGCACCUGGAUUUGUGCUGGCAGCUGGAUUUAUGAUUGCUGUCUUCUCAAAG